UUUAUAUCCCAAACCGACCCGGAAUUUUCACGUCUUUCUUUCUCAUACAAGAAAAGUGCUUGACAGAACCCAAAAGAAAUGCAAAUUGCUGGCUUCACUCUCUGGUCGAAUCAAAUCGAAGAACGAAAUUGAACAAGUACAUAAAUCUAGGCUAAGUAACUGAAAACGAACUUAACAAAGGAGAAGGAAGUUCCAGAGAGAGAAAGAUUGAGAGAGAAUGGCGGACUAUCACUUUGUAUACAAGGACGUGGAAGGAGCAUCGACGCAAUGGGACGACAUACAGAGAAAGCUAGGGAACCUACCGGCAAAGCCACCGGCGUUCAAGCCAGCACCUUUCACUCCAGCCGAGGACGAAGCCUC
Prunus avium (sweet cherry) is the source of this 360-nucleotide non-coding RNA. The record is from RefSeq and is a predicted model, not a curated record. Lineage: Eukaryota; Viridiplantae; Streptophyta; Magnoliopsida; Rosales; Rosaceae.